This 197-nucleotide unclassified non-coding RNA is filed under the name uncultured fungus. Its description in RNAcentral is "sequence contains ITS1". Lineage: Eukaryota; Fungi. The record is from RNAcentral.
UUAAUUUAUUCGUUUUUCACUCAGACACACUGUUGACAGGUUUCAGGUGACCACUGGCGGGCGCUCCCCAGCGAGUGCCGGGGGUGCGCGAGGCACGACCCGCCAAAGCAACUAGAUAGGUACACAAUGGGUUGGAGCUGGCACCCAGAGGGCGCCGGUACUCUGUAAUGAUCCUUCCGCAGGUUCACCUACGGAAA